Molecule: ribosomal RNA, 695 nt
Filed under: uncultured Rhodanobacter sp.
Lineage: Bacteria; Pseudomonadati; Pseudomonadota; Gammaproteobacteria; Lysobacterales; Rhodanobacteraceae
Description: bacterial SSU rRNA
Rfam family: Bacterial small subunit ribosomal RNA
Source: RNAcentral
CUGCUACCAUGCAGUCGAACGGCAGCACAGAGGAGCUUGCUCCUUGGGUGGCGAGUGGCGGACGGGUGAGUAAUGCAUCGGGAUCUACCCUGACGUGGGGGAUAACCUCGGGAAACCGGGACUAAUACCGCAUACGUCCUACGGGAGAAAGCGGGGGACCUUUUAGGCCUCGCGCGGCAGGACGAACCGAUGUGCGAUUAGCUAGUUGGGGGAGUAAUGGCCCACCAAGGCGACGAUCGCUAGCUGGUCUGAGAGGAUGAUCAGCCACACUGGGACUGAAACACGGCCCAGACUCCUACGGGAGGCAGCAGGGGGGAAUAUUGGACAAUGGGCGCAAGCCUGAUCCAGCAAUGCCGCGUGUGUGAAGAAGGCCUUCGGGUUGUAAAGCACUUUUAUCAGGAGCGAAAUCUGCAUGCUUAAUACGUGUGCAGUCUGACGGUACCUGAGGAAUAAGCACCGGCUAACUUCGUGCCACCAGCCGCGGAAAUACGAAGGGUGCAAGCGUUAAUCGGAAUUACUGGGCGUAAAGGGUGCGUAGGCGGUUCGUUAAGUCUGCCGUGAAAUCCCCGGUCUCAACCGGGGAAUGGCGAUGGAUACUGGCGAUUUACAGUGUGUCACAGGAUGGUGAUAUUCCCGGUGUAGCGGGAACUGGUUUAGAGAUCGGUGAGGAACAUCCGUGGCAAAGGGGCCCAUCU